GAGGGUAUGGCUCAGUGGUAGAGCAUUUGCUUAGCAUGCAUGAGAUCCUGGGUUCAAUCCCUAGUACCACCA
This 72-nucleotide transfer RNA is filed under the name Camelus bactrianus (Bactrian camel). It matches the Rfam family "tRNA". From Rfam's summary of the family: Transfer RNA (tRNA) molecules are approximately 80 nucleotides in length. Their secondary structure includes four short double-helical elements and three loops (D, anti-codon, and T loops). Further hydrogen bonds mediate the characteristic L-shaped molecular structure. tRNAs have two regions of fundamental functional importance: the anti-codon, which is responsible for specific mRNA codon recognition, and the 3' end, to which the tRNAs corresponding amino acid is attached (by aminoacyl-tRNA synthetases). tRNAs cope with the degeneracy of the genetic code in two manners: having more than one tRNA (with a specific anti-codon) for a particular amino acid; and 'wobble' base-pairing, i.e. permitting non-standard base-pairing at the 3rd anti-codon position. RNAcentral also lists the same sequence under 2 other names. Lineage: Eukaryota; Metazoa; Chordata; Mammalia; Artiodactyla; Camelidae. The record is from Rfam by way of RNAcentral.